This is a non-coding RNA of Roridomyces roridus, 97 nucleotides long. Lineage: Eukaryota; Fungi; Basidiomycota; Agaricomycetes; Agaricales; Mycenaceae. The record is from the annotation of a GenBank genome assembly.
UCCGAUGUGGUGUAUUGGUAACAUAUCCGCCUCUCAUUGCGCUCGUUUGACUUUGACGCGGUUGCGCGGGGGCGGGGUUCGAUUCCCCGCAUCGGUA